UCCUGCCAUGACGAUAAUGAACUGAACCUCCAAAACUGCGCUGAUACCUGCUGGCAUGGUUAUACACUGGCUAAUUACUCUGAACAGUGUGUCACUGGCCGACCACCAAGUUCCUCAAGAUGAUGUAUGCCCCUCGGGACUGGAUCCUGCCCUGUCCGCAUGUUCAUUGCCAGUUUGGUCACUCAGGACCUAAAGCCUCACCCCACUGAGUUCUUCUAAACCAGUGGAACCUCCCUCCUACUCCUCUGAGAACGUUCUUGAAGAUAAGGACUGUGGGACCCU
Mus caroli (Ryukyu mouse) is the source of this 282-nucleotide long non-coding RNA. RefSeq lists it as uncharacterized. NCBI's taxonomy places the organism in Eukaryota, Metazoa, Chordata, Mammalia, Rodentia, Muridae. The record is from RefSeq and is a predicted model, not a curated record.